UGUCUCGUCUUGUCAUAUUAAAGGUUUUUAAGGACUUUAAUUAGGUAUACCGGUUAGGGAGACGACAGAGAGCAGCCCUUUCCACGCCCAGACACUUGAUGGAGGAUGAUCACUUUGGCAGGUACAGGCUGGCAAGCUGAACCGAUGUAAAUUAACCAGGAAAGGUUAAAUUAGAGUAAAAUGAGGAUUGCAGACAAAUCUAUGAAGCAAAGUUAAUCCUGUCUGCUGCGCUGCAUCCCGCCAUGCAGCGGCUUGGGAUGAGGAGUCGGUUACACGCGGGUCGUCGAUAAUUGUUUCCUUAAAAACAAAUUCUGAUACAGGAGGCUGAGUUAAGGCUCUGAGCUCACCCCGAAGGGCAGUGUACCUCCUGUCUAAAACUGUGUUUUUAAAGCUGCCCAGCGCUUUGUAAAGGAAGUACAGCAAAGCUAAUGCCCGGUUGUAAGGCCCACCCUCACACCCGUGCAUCCUCCUCCUUCUUCUUGCAGGACGCCAAAUCGGCCCAAGCCGCAUCUCCUGAUCCACGGGUCCAGAUUCACCUCUCCUGCUGCCAAGGCCUGGGGCUGGGGCAGCCCAGCACCCCCGGCUCUGCCAGCCCCGGCCGUGAGCACCCACAUGCAGCUGCCACCCAAACGCCCUGCGUGCCAGCACCCAGAGGCUUGAAAAGUCCCAGUUCAGCCAUCAGGCCGUGCCUUUGAGGGGCUGGGUGCAUCGCCACCGAGCGUGCCUCGCAGCUCCGCUGGGCACGGAUCACAUCGCCACCCAGCACGGGUCACAUCGCCACCCAGCACGGAUCACAUCGCCACCCAGCACGGAUCACAUCGCCACCCAGCACGGAUCGCCUCGCCACCCAGCACGGAUCACAUCGCCACCCAGCACGGAUCACAUCGCCACCCAGCAUGCAUCGCCUCGCCACCCAGCACGGACCACAUCGCCACCCAGCACAGAUCACAUCGCCACCCAGCACGGGUCACAUCGCCACCCAGCACGGAUCACAUCGCCACCCAGCACGGAUCACAUCGCCGCCCAGCACACCGCGCGUUGCCACUGAGCGCUCAGAACACUGCUGCUGAGCACGCAGGCCGCCAGCCCUGCCGAGCUGCCCCAGGCAGCACCCAGGCACUGCGCAGAGCUGGCGGGCGCAGGGAACUCGCUCUUUAAAGCUCCGGAGAAAUGCAGUGCAUUUAUCAGCUGUGAGUGGAUAUCAUUGUGUUUAUAACAGAGUGGAGGCACCAUGCAAUUUUGCUCUUGAAAUUGGUUUAUAUAGAUGACUGGUUGCUGUGAAGUGUGUGUCAGAGUUGCAUGCAGCGGUUAUGAAGUAGUACAAUUGUCAUCGCUUCUUACAUGGUUGUUGAGAAGAGCUUGAGAGCCCGGCUCAGUCAGCUGUUGAAUAGAUAACCCAACACAGUUAACGUGGCAUACAUUGUAAAGAAUUACAUGCCUGCUACAAUGAGCUCUGGGCCUUUGGUCUAGAUAAUAAUCCUGGUGGGUGUACCACGUGUAGUGGCUGUCUGAUCGCUCAGAUAUGACUGACGAAACAUAAAGAAAAAUGUCAGUCGACUAAAAGAAAAAUGCUGCUGUAAGUUUGUUUAAGGUUCAUGUAAACGGCUGUGCUUUUUUAUUUAACCCCGAGUCUACCGAAGACUUGGCUGUCAAGCUAAAUGCGUCUCCAUGUGCAAGCUGCGGAUGAAACUCCAU
RNAcentral lists this long non-coding RNA (1695 nucleotides) under Anser brachyrhynchus (Pink-footed goose). RNAcentral describes it as "lncRNA (ENSABRG00000018168.1)". The record is from RNAcentral. Lineage: Eukaryota; Metazoa; Chordata; Aves; Anseriformes; Anatidae.